UACGUAUGGUGCAAGCGUUAUCCGGAUUUACUGGGUGUAAAGGGUGCGUAGGUGGAACGGCAAGUCAGAUGCGAAAACCCGGGGCUCAACCCCGUGACUGCAUUUGAAACUGUCGAUCUAGAGUGCAGGAGAGGAAAGCGGAAUUCCUAGUGUAGCGGUGAAAUGCGUAGAUAUUAGGAGGAACACCAGUGGCGAAGGCGGCUUUCUGGACUGUUACUGACACUGAGGCACGAAAGCGUGGGGAGCAAAC
This 250-nucleotide ribosomal RNA is filed under the name uncultured prokaryote. RNAcentral describes it as "partial 16S ribosomal RNA". It matches the Rfam family "Bacterial small subunit ribosomal RNA", at positions 524 to 773 of the family's 1533-position model. The record is from RNAcentral.